UGAGUAAUGCCUAGGAAAUUGCCCUGAUGUGGGGGAUAACCAUUGGAAACGAUGGCUAAUACCGCAUGAUGCCUACGGGCCAAAGAGGGGGACCUUCGGGCCUCUCGCGUCAGGAUAUGCCUAGGUGGGAUUAGCUAGUUGGUGAGGUAAGGGCUCACCAAGGCGACGAUCCCUAGCUGGUCUGAGAGGAUGAUCAGCCACACUGGAACUGAGACACGGUCCAGACUCCUACGGGAGGCAGCAGUGGGGAAUAUUGCACAAUGGGCGCAAGCCUGAUGCAGCCAUGCCGCGUGUGUGAAGAAGGCCUUCGGGUUGUAAAGCACUUUCAGUCGUGAGGAAGGUAGUGUAGUUAAUAGCUGCAUUAUUUGACGUUAGCGACAGAAGAAGCACCGGCUAACUCCGUGCCAGCAGCCGCGGUAAUACGGAGGGUGCGAGCGUUAAUCGGAAUUACUGGGCGUAAAGCGCAUGCAGGUGGUUUGUUAAGUCAGAUGUGAAAGCCCGGGGCUCAACCUCGGAAUUGCAUUUGAAACUGGCAGACUAGAGUACUGUAGAGGGGGGUAGAAUUUCAGGUGUAGCGGUGAAAUGCGUAGAGAUCUGAAGGAAUACCGGUGGCGAAGGCGGCCCCCUGGACAGAUACUGACACUCAGAUGCGAAAGCGUGGGGAGCAAACAGGAUUAGAUACCCUGGUAGUCCACGCCGUAAACGAUGUCUACUUGGAGGUUGUGGCCUUGAGCCGUGGCUUUCGGAGCUAACGCGUUAAGUAGACCGCCUGGGGAGUACGGUCGCAAGAUUAAAACUCAAAUGAAUUGACGGGGGCCCGCACAAGCGGUGGAGCAUGUGGUUUAAUUCGAUGCAACGCGAAGAACCUUACCUACUCUUGACAUCCAGAGAACUUUCCAGAGAUGGAUUGGUGCCUUCGGGAACUCUGAGACAGGUGCUGCAUGGCUGUCGUCAGCUCGUGUUGUGAAAUGUUGGGUUAAGUCCCGCAACGAGCGCAACCCUUAUCCUUGUUUGCCAGCGAGUAAUGUCGGGAACUCCAGGGAGACUGCCGGUGAUAAACCGGAGGAAGGUGGGGACGACGUCAAGUCAUCAUGGCCCUUACGAGUAGGGCUACACACGUGCUACAAUGGCGCAUACAGAGGGCAGCCAACUUGCGAAAGUGAGCGAAUCCCAAAAAGUGCGUCGUAGUCCGGAUUGGAGUCUGCAACUCGACUCCAUGAAGUCGGAAUCGCUAGUAAUCGUGGAUCAGAAUGCCACGGUGAAUACGUUCCCGGGCCUUGUACACACCGCCCGUCACACCAUGGGAGUGGGCUGCAAAAGAAGUAGGUAGUUUAACCUUCGGGGGGACGCUUACCACUUUGUGGUUCAUGACUGGGGUGAAGUCGUAACAAGGUAGCGCUAGGGGAACCUGGCGCUGGAUCACCUCCUUA
This 1430-nucleotide ribosomal RNA is filed under the name Vibrio parahaemolyticus. Its description in RNAcentral is "bacterial SSU rRNA". It matches the Rfam family "Bacterial small subunit ribosomal RNA". The record is from RNAcentral. Lineage: Bacteria; Pseudomonadati; Pseudomonadota; Gammaproteobacteria; Vibrionales; Vibrionaceae.